This 74-nucleotide non-coding RNA is filed under the name Halanaerobium saccharolyticum. Lineage: Bacteria; Bacillati; Bacillota; Clostridia; Halanaerobiales; Halanaerobiaceae. The record is from RNAcentral.
GAAAGCUGUAUACGGGAGAACCGUACGUGCAGUUUGACGAGGGGUCCCAGCUGAAAAGGCUGGUCCUACUCUAU